This 492-nucleotide ribosomal RNA is filed under the name uncultured bacterium. RNAcentral's name for it is "partial 16S ribosomal RNA". It matches the Rfam family "Bacterial small subunit ribosomal RNA", at positions 31 to 507 of the family's 1533-position model. The record is from RNAcentral.
AGAGAACGCUGGCGGUAGGCCUAACACAUGCAAGUCGAACGGCAGCACAGUAAGAGCUUGCUCUUACGGGUGGCGAGUGGCGGACGGGUGAGGAAUACAUCGGAAUCUACUUUUUCGUGGGGGAUAACGUAGGGAAACUUACGCUAAUACCGCAUACGACCUACGGGUGAAAGCAGGGGAUCUUCGGACCUUGCGCGAUUGAAUGAGCCGAUGUCGGAUUAGCUAGUUGGCGGGGUAAAGGCCCACCAAGGCGACGAUCCGUAGCUGGUCUGAGAGGAUGAUCAGCCACACUGGAACUGAGACACGGUCCAGACUCCUACGGGAGGCAGCAGUGGGGAAUAUUGGACAAUGGGCGCAAGCCUGAUCCAGCCAUACCGCGUGGGUGAAGAAGGCCUUCGGGUUGUAAAGCCCUUUUGUUGGGAAAGAAAAGCAGCAGGUUAAUACCCCGCAGUUCUGACGGUACCCAAGGAAUAAGCACCGGCUAACUUCGUG